Molecule: long non-coding RNA, 260 nt
Filed under: Nicotiana benthamiana
Lineage: Eukaryota; Viridiplantae; Streptophyta; Magnoliopsida; Solanales; Solanaceae
Description: long non-coding RNA (NBEN_LNC038335)
Source: RNAcentral
GUCUCUGUUCUUCUUCUCCAGUGGCGAAAAAUUAGGGUUCCAUCUUCUUCACUUCAGUGGACGACCAACCCAGGUACUUUUUCUUCUCCUUUCUUCUUGUUUUAUCUUUCUUCUUCUUCCAUCUUCUUCUUCAGUCGACGAGUUCUUCAGGCGAUCUUCUUCUUCAUUUUUUUCUUCUUUCUCUCUCUGUCGACGACACAGUGAUGGACUUUCUGUCCAGUUGGACUUUUUUCUUCUUCUUUCUCUCCAGUCGAACUUUU